CAGAUGUUGCACACUAAAGAAUCAGGGAUGCAGGUCGAGGCCUUUUCAAGGGGAAUUAACAACCUCACAGACUCCAAAGAGGAGAAGAAAACUCAGACCACAGGUUCACUCUCAACCAAUACCAAAGAAAGAAUAAUAUUGUUUAUAAGGGAAACCACACUUUGAACUAGACCGGCUGGACUGAUGCAAACAGAUCUCCAGUAAGCCAAAACCAGCAUUUUCAGAACCUUAUGGGCUAAACCCAACCUCACCAGACCUCAUCCAGAACAAAGGAGUGUCUGCUUUUCAGGGAACCGAAGAACAAGUUCCACCCAAGUCCUUCAACCCUGAGUGACAUCUUUCUGAUGACCUACUUCAUCCUGCACAGCAGCAAUCUUACCGACAUGUUCAACUGCACGGCAAUGACCCCAGAACAGAAGAUCCGGCUGGGUGCCCACUGGGUCUGGGAUCAGCCGAGCAAGAACCCCCAAAUCCAGAUGGUGGCCCAGGUUCUCUUAUAAUGCCUCUCUGUGCAGUGGUCACUGGUCUAUUAAAACGCACCACAUAUUAAAGUUUCUUUGGAGUUUCCAUAUGUUUUAUUCAAAACAAAACUUGAAAUCGAGGGAUUGUGAGGUCAUUGGCAGGCGACACAUUGACACUCUGGACACGGUCA
Carassius auratus (goldfish) is the source of this 652-nucleotide long non-coding RNA. RefSeq lists it as uncharacterized. NCBI's taxonomy places the organism in Eukaryota, Metazoa, Chordata, Actinopteri, Cypriniformes, Cyprinidae. The transcript has 3 exons. The record is from RefSeq and is a predicted model, not a curated record.